AUUGAGUGCGGUCUAUAAUGCAGUCGACGAACUCUGGUAUUGAUUGGUGCUUGCAUCAUGAUUUACAUUUGAGUGAGUGGCGAACUGGUGAGUAACACGUGGGAAACCUGCCCAGAAGCGGGGGAUAACACCUGGAAACAGAUGCUAAUACCGCAUAACAACUUGGACCGCAUGGUCCGAGUUUGAAAGAUGGCUUCGGCUAUCACUUUUGGAUGGUCCCGCGGCGUAUUAGCUAGAUGGUGGGGUAACGGCUCACCAUGGCAAUGAUACGUAGCCGACCUGAGAGGGUAAUCGGCCACAUUGGGACUGAGACACGGCCCAAACUCCUACGGGAGGCAGCAGUAGGGAAUCUUCCACAAUGGACGAAAGUCUGAUGGAGCAACGCCGCGUGAGUGAAGAAGGGUUUCGGCUCGUAAAACUCUGUUGUUAAAGAAGAACAUAUCUGAGAGUAACUGUUCAGGUAUUGACGGUAUUUAACCAGAAAGCCACGGCUAACUACGUGCCAGCAGCCGCGGUAAUACGUAGGUGGCAAGCGUUGUCCGGAUUUAUUGGGCGUAAAGCGAGCGCAGGCGGUUUUUUAAGUCUGAUGUGAAAGCCUUCGGCUCAACCGAAGAAGUGCAUCGGAAACUGGGAAACUUGAGUGCAGAAGAGGACAGUGGAACUCCAUGUGUAGCGGUGAAAUGCGUAGAUAUAUGGAAGAACACCAGUGGCGAAGGCGGCUGUCUGGUCUGUAACUGACGCUGAGGCUCGAAAGUAUGGGUAGCAAACAGGAUUAGAUACCCUGGUAGUCCAUACCGUAAACGAUGAAUGCUAAGUGUUGGAGGGUUUCCGCCCUUCAGUGCUGCAGCUAACGCAUUAAGCAUUCCGCCUGGGGAGUACGGCCGCAAGGCUGAAACUCAAAGGAAUUGACGGGGGCCCGCACAAGCGGUGGAGCAUGUGGUUUAAUUCGAAGCUACGCGAAGAACCUUACCAGGUCUUGACAUACUAUGCAAAUCUAAGAGAUUAGACGUUCCCUUCGGGGACAUGGAUACAGGUGGUGCAUGGUUGUCGUCAGCUCGUGUCGUGAGAUGUUGGGUUAAGUCCCGCAACGAGCGCAACCCUUAUUAUCAGUUGCCAGCAUUAAGUUGGGCACUCUGGUGAGACUGCCGGUGACAAACCGGAGGAAGGUGGGGAUGACGUCAAAUCAUCAUGCCCCUUAUGACCUGGGCUACACACGUGCUACAAUGGAUGGUACAACGAGUUGCGAACUCGCGAGAGUAAGCUAAUCUCUUAAAGCCAUUCUCAGUUCGGAUUGUAGGCUGCAACUCGCCUACAUGAAGUCGGAAUCGCUAGUAAUCGCGGAUCAGCAUGCCGCGGUGAAUACGUUCCCGGGCCUUGUACACACCGCCCGUCACACCAUGAGAGUUUGUAACACCCAAAGUCGGUGGGGUAACCUUUUAGGAACCAGCCGCCUAAGGUGACAGAUUUUC
RNAcentral lists this ribosomal RNA (1469 nucleotides) under bacterium. Its description in RNAcentral is "bacterial SSU rRNA". It matches the Rfam family "Bacterial small subunit ribosomal RNA". The record is from RNAcentral.